This 72-nucleotide transfer RNA is filed under the name Spumella sp. Baekdong012001B8. Its description in RNAcentral is "tRNA-Val". It matches the Rfam family "tRNA". Rfam says of the family: Transfer RNA (tRNA) molecules are approximately 80 nucleotides in length. Their secondary structure includes four short double-helical elements and three loops (D, anti-codon, and T loops). Further hydrogen bonds mediate the characteristic L-shaped molecular structure. tRNAs have two regions of fundamental functional importance: the anti-codon, which is responsible for specific mRNA codon recognition, and the 3' end, to which the tRNAs corresponding amino acid is attached (by aminoacyl-tRNA synthetases). tRNAs cope with the degeneracy of the genetic code in two manners: having more than one tRNA (with a specific anti-codon) for a particular amino acid; and 'wobble' base-pairing, i.e. permitting non-standard base-pairing at the 3rd anti-codon position. Lineage: Eukaryota; Chrysophyceae; Chromulinales; Chromulinaceae. The record is from RNAcentral.
AGGUGAUUAGUUCAGUGGUAGAGCAUUUGCCUUACAAGCAAAGAGUCACUGGUUCGAAUCCGGUAUCACCUA